CGGACGGGUGAGUAACACGUGGAUAACCUACCUAUAAGACUGGGAUAACUUCGGGAAACCGGAGCUAAUACCGGAUAAUAUAUUGAACCGCAUGGUUCAAUAGUGAAAGACGGUUUUGCUGUCACUUAUAGAUGGAUCCGCGCUGCAUUAGCUAGUUGGUAAGGUAACGGCUUACCAAGGCAACGAUGCGUAGCCGACAUGAGAGGGUGAUCGGCCACACUGGAACUGAGACACGGUCCAGACUCCUACGGGGGGCAGCAGGG
Molecule: ribosomal RNA, 263 nt
Filed under: uncultured Staphylococcus sp.
Lineage: Bacteria; Bacillati; Bacillota; Bacilli; Caryophanales; Staphylococcaceae
Description: partial 16S ribosomal RNA
Rfam family: Bacterial small subunit ribosomal RNA
Source: RNAcentral